Molecule: ribosomal RNA, 292 nt
Filed under: uncultured bacterium
Lineage: Bacteria
Description: partial 16S ribosomal RNA
Rfam family: Bacterial small subunit ribosomal RNA
Source: RNAcentral
GUGCCAGCAGCCGCGGUAAUACAGAGGCCCCAAGCGUUACUGAGAAUCACUGGGUUUAAAGGGUGCGUAGGUGGCGCGUUAAGUCCGUUGUGAAAGCCCUGGGCUCAACCCAGGAACUGCUUCGGAUACUGGCGCGCUUGAGGCUAGUAGGGGUCACUGGAACUGACGGUGGAGCGGUGAAAUGCGUAGAUAUCGUCAGGAACGCCAAUGGUGAAGACAGGUGACUGGGCUAGUUCUGACACUGAGGCACGAAAGCGUGGGGAGCGAACGGGAUUAGAAACCCCUGUAGUCC